This 433-nucleotide ribosomal RNA is filed under the name uncultured bacterium. RNAcentral describes it as "partial 16S ribosomal RNA". It matches the Rfam family "Bacterial small subunit ribosomal RNA", at positions 29 to 507 of the family's 1533-position model. The record is from RNAcentral.
AACGAACGCUGGCGGCAUGCCUAACACAUGCAAGUCGAACGAUGCCUUCGGGCAUAGUGGCGCACGGGUGCGUAACGCGUGGGAAGCUGCCUUUCGGUUCGGAAUAACUCAGGGAAACUUGAGCUAAUACCGGAUAACGUCGCAAGACCAAAGAUUUAUCACCGAAAGAUGAGCCCGCGUAGGAUUAGCUAGUUGGUGAGGUAAAGGCUCACCAAGGCGACGAUCCUUAGCUGGUCUGAGAGGAUGAUCAGCCACACUGGGACUGAGACACGGCCCAGACUCCUACGGGAGGCAGCAGUGGGGAAUAUUGGACAAUGGGCGAAAGCCUGAUCCAGCAAUGCCGCGUGAGUGAUGAAGGCCUUAGGGUUGUAAAGCUCUUUUACCCGGGAAGAUAAUGACGGUACCGGGAGAAUAAGCCCCGGCUAACUCCGUG